GAUGAAGAACGCAGCGAAAUGCGAUAAGUAAUGUGAAUUGCAGAAUUCAGUGAAUCUUCGAAUCUUUGAACGCACAUUGCGCCCCUUGGUAUUCCGAGGGGCAUGCCUGUUCGAGCGUCAUUAUAACCCUCAAGCUCAGCUUGGUGUUGGGGCCUGCUGCAGUGGCAGCCCUUAAAAUCAGUGGCGGCGCCAUCUGGCUCUAAGCGUAGUAAUUCUUCUCGCUAUGGAGUCCUGGUGGAUGCUUGCCAUCAACCCCCAAUUUUUCUAUGGUUGACCUCGGAUCAGGUAGGGAUACCCGCUGAACUUAAGCAUAUCAAUAAGCGGAGGA
Molecule: unclassified non-coding RNA, 328 nt
Filed under: soil metagenome
Description: partial contains 5.8S ribosomal RNA, internal transcribed spacer 2, and large subunit ribosomal RNA
Rfam family: 5.8S ribosomal RNA (bases 1-120)
Source: RNAcentral